GACGAACGCUGGCGGCGUGCUUAACACAUGCAAGUCGAACGGAAAGGCCCUGCUUUUGUGGGGUGCUCGAGUGGCGAACGGGUGAGUAACACGUGAGUUACCUGCCCUUGACGUUGGGAUAACUUCAGGAAACUGGGGCUAAUACCAGAUAGGAGCUCCUGCUGCAUGGUGGGGGUUGGAAAGUUUCGGCGGUUGGGGAUGGACUCGCGGCCUAUCAGCUUGUUGGUGGGGUAGUGGCUUACCAAGGCUUUGACGGGUAGCCGGCCUGAGAGGGUGACCGGCCACAUUGGGACUGAGAUACGGCCCAGACUCCUACGGGAGGCAGCAGUGGGGAAUAUUGCACAAUGGGCGGAAGCCUGAUGCAGCAACGCCGCGUGCGGGAUGACGGCCUUCGGGUUGUAAACCGCUUUCGCCUGUGACGAAGCGUGAGUGACGGUAAUGGGUAAAGAAGCACCGGCUAACUACGUG
RNAcentral lists this ribosomal RNA (468 nucleotides) under uncultured bacterium. RNAcentral's name for it is "partial 16S ribosomal RNA". It matches the Rfam family "Bacterial small subunit ribosomal RNA", at positions 28 to 507 of the family's 1533-position model. The record is from RNAcentral.